GAAGAUGUUAACAUUUUAAUCUUAUAGGAAAACCAGCCGACUUAAUCGAUAAUAACAAUCUCCAGAUUGGGUUCCUUCAAUAAAUAUGGGCUAUAAACACAAUGAAAUAAAAAAAUGAAUAACCAUUUUCAAUUUCUGAUAGAAAGAAUAGUCUUUUACAUCGAAAUAAGUUCCCCAAAAUCUAGAAUGGAGUGGUAUCAAAGGAGAAUUAAAGGAAAAAAUAUUUAUAUUGAAAUUAUUUAUAAGGCACUGGACUGUCUUAAAUUCUACAAUAAUACUAGAAUCAGCUGAGAGAAGUGGUCUACAAAAAACCAGGAAGGAAACGGAAUAUGUGGCUACGAAAGGCAAAAGAAAGGUUUACAAAGCAAAUGUGACACAUUUUUUUGAAAUAUUUAGGAAUAUCAGUAAAUUGCAUUAAAAAAAUGUAUGAAAAGAUUUUGUUCAAUAAAAAUGUUUAUAUUUA
Diabrotica virgifera virgifera (western corn rootworm) is the source of this 463-nucleotide long non-coding RNA. RefSeq lists it as uncharacterized. The transcript is spliced from 2 exons. NCBI's taxonomy places the organism in Eukaryota, Metazoa, Arthropoda, Insecta, Coleoptera, Chrysomelidae. The record is from RefSeq and is a predicted model, not a curated record.